CGCUGUGGGGAUGAAAAAGUAUAUUACCAUUGCAUUAAUAAGACAAUCUGGAGUUUAUAAGGCGUUUUGAACAGUGUGUCUUUCAGAAAAGACUGAGUUGCAGGCUGACAGGAAGUUGCAGAAAGUUUGCAGAACUGAAACCGAAAGUUAUUCUGAGGAGCAGGGUAAACGAGGCUAUUUUAAUUACUAGGUUAUUCAAAAUGAUCAUUGCUUUAACAAAUAACAGAUAGUUUUAAGAAGGCCUUAAGAUGCUUAUGCACACAGUUAUUAUGUUUAGUAGAGGUUCUUGAUUGAAACAUUUAUUUUAAGUAGAUGAUAUCUCCAUAAGUUUCAGUUCGAUUAUUAUAUAUACAAGAGUGGUUUCUGUCUCUCUGUCUGGUUAGAGGUCGAGGUGGAACCGGGUGUAGUUGUGGUUAGCACACACACUUAGAGAGAGUCAUUUAAAGGUGAAAGUUUAAUCAUGUUUUGCUGGGGUUGCAAAAACAGUUUGUCGCCGAACUGCUGCUAAGGUGUCAAGAGGACAAGCAUCCGGCAGUGACAGGAAGCACCUGCUAUGGAGAUAGAAGACAAUGUUUUGAACUGUGUUAAGAGUCUUUGUGGUGUUAAUUUGGUCUAUGUAAAAAUGUAUUUGUGACGUAUGAGGGGGCGUAAGUAAAUACAAACCCUGAUUGUAUAAAAUAUCUGUUAUGCUUUGAGGAAGUUGAAGUUCAGUUCCUGUCUGCGAACAGAGCUGGGGCUUCCCACAUGUGUCAUUAAAAAUCAAUCGUUUGACCAAGCUCUUCUGGACCAAUGGUUGUCUGUACUCUCCUUUCCUCAAUCUUUGAACCUAACAGCGCCAUUUUUAUGUAGAUGAUGGGCUAAAGUCAUUUCCCUCUGAGACCCAGGCGUAGGGCUGCUCGAUUAUGGCAAAAAUGAUAAUCACGAUUAUUUUCACUGAAAUUGAGAUCACGAUUAUUUGACGAUAUUUAUUUAACCCUUUAAGACCUACUAUAGAACCAAGUCCACCAGAGCUUAUAUUAUUUUUUUUACAUGCUGUAGUGCCAUUUGUGGGAGCAUUUCAAGUUGCUAUACAUCAAUACAACUGUUAUAGCCCAUAUUUUAAUAAUAUGUAUGCAUUAAGUCCAUAGUAAUUACAUAAA
Astatotilapia calliptera (eastern happy) is the source of this 1139-nucleotide long non-coding RNA. Lineage: Eukaryota; Metazoa; Chordata; Actinopteri; Cichliformes; Cichlidae. The record is from Ensembl.